AUUCAGGGACAACCAUCAGAGCCAAGGCUUCCUGAAUGACCCAUAUGGGCCGGUCACCUUUCUAAGAACAUUCCAUGCAUCUUUAACUUUAUUCUCACAAACCUUCUACAGGCAGGUGCUGUUAUAAUCCCAGCUAGCAAGUGGGCAUAGGCAGCCUGUGGGGUGAGCUGAGCCCUUCACCCCUGGGACAUGCUGUCCUCUGGGUACCGUGAGGCAGACUGGAAAAGUGCUACAGCAGACAGCUGACACCCUGGAGCGACGCGGGACCAGUGGUCUCUGGGAAAACGUGAGCUACAACGGCAGGCUGAGGAGAAUGUCUGGGUCAGAGCCUGGCUUUUGGAGGAUCCUGCUGUGCGUGCAGGUAAGCUCUUCCCCACCGCCACCCACCAGUGUGGCUGAGCUUUCUUAAGCCGUUCUACACAGCCAGAGAUUUACCUGCUCAUUUUCUGCGCACCUUCCAGAAGUGGCUACUGCUCUUGCCUUUCUGUCCUCUGCAUCCCUGUGGGUUUAUGUCUUUCAAAUCCCUUUGUUGUAGCUUUGGCCCAGCAAACUCAGAUAACAGUGGUUAAGAACUAUCUUCAGGACCCUGUUUGGCUUCUCCCGGUUUAACAUCAUCUUCUGGUGUCAUUACGUGAUCUUCAUGAUGAUAAUUUUCAUGGUGACAUUAAGAAAGGAGACUUUUCUUGCAAAGAGCGUGUUCCACGGAGCAUUGGUAGGUGUGCCAAAGAUGAAAGGUGCUCUGAGCUGAAACUAGUUUGGGAUGUUUGGGAUUUACGAAGGUAACCGCAAUCAAUUCCAAGGACUAUACUUCCAAGUAUAUAAUCAAUCGCAAGGUCUUGGUACAUUCAAAGACCUACAUCCCAUCAGGCCAUAGUGCUUCCGAAGAGAUUCUGGCCUUACCUCUGUUUCCUUCAGAGCAGUAACGAAGAUCCUAUUUGGGUCCCAUGGGUGACUGUUCCCUGAGCCCCCGGGCCCGGGCUGGGUUAGAUGACUCCCCGUGGACCCUCAUAGUCCCUGCCAC
This 1021-nucleotide long non-coding RNA is filed under the name Canis lupus familiaris (dog). RNAcentral describes it as "lncRNA (ENSCAFG00845015392.1)". The record is from RNAcentral. Lineage: Eukaryota; Metazoa; Chordata; Mammalia; Carnivora; Canidae.